CAGGGAUUGCCCUAGUAACGGCGAGUGAAGCGGCAACAGCUCAAAUUUGAAAUCUGGCUUCGGCCCGAGUUGUAAUUUGCAGAGGAUGUUUCUGGCGCGGUGCCUUCCGAGUUCCCUGGAACGGGACGCCACAGAGGGUGAGAGCCCCGUAUGGUCGGACACCAAGCCUGUGUGAAACUCCUUCAACGAGUCGAGUAGUUUGGGAAUGCUGCUCUAAAUGGGAGGUAAAUCUCUUCUAAAGCUAAAUACCGGCCAGAGACCGAUAGCGCACAAGUAGAGUGAUCGAAAGAUGAAAAGCACCUUGAAAAGGGGGUUAAAUAGUACGUGAAAUUGUUGAAAGGGAAGCACUUAUGACCAGACUUGGGCCGGGCGGCUCAUCAGGGGUUCUCCCCUGUGCACUCCGCCCGGCACAGGCCAGCAUCGGUUUUCGCGGGGGGAUAAGACCGACGGGAACGUAGCACCCUCCGGGGUGUGUUAUAGCCCGGCGGACGAUACCCUCGCGGGGACCGAGG
RNAcentral lists this ribosomal RNA (512 nucleotides) under Diaporthe ueckeri. RNAcentral's name for it is "partial large subunit ribosomal RNA". It matches the Rfam family "Eukaryotic large subunit ribosomal RNA", at positions 69 to 593 of the family's 3401-position model. The record is from RNAcentral. Lineage: Eukaryota; Fungi; Ascomycota; Sordariomycetes; Diaporthales; Diaporthaceae.